Molecule: unclassified non-coding RNA, 2584 nt
Organism: Bombyx mandarina (wild silkworm)
Lineage: Eukaryota; Metazoa; Arthropoda; Insecta; Lepidoptera; Bombycidae
Source: RefSeq, a predicted model, not a curated record
CCGGCGUUAUUUGAACUAAGAGAAGUACGGAGACUAACGUGCGAUACUUUGCGCUUUGAAACACGUGUGUUAAAAACCCUCUAGUCAUUUUGUGUGAAUUAAACAAAAAGCAGUAAAGAAAAUGCCGGAAGAAAUGGAGACACAGCCAGCGGAGGUUGAAACCUUCGCGUUCCAGGCUGAGAUCGCUCAGCUUAUGUCCCUGAUCAUCAACACCUUUUACUCCAACAAAGAAAUUUUCCUUCGUGAGCUGAUUUCCAAUUCAUCGGACGCUUUAGACAAAAUCAGGUAUGAAUCUCUCACGGAUCCGUCAAAACUCGAUAGUGGCAAAGAGCUGUACAUCAAGAUCAUUCCCAACAAGAACGAGGGCACUCUUACGAUCAUCGAUACCGGUAUUGGUAUGACCAAGGCCGAUUUGGUGAACAAUUUGGGAACCAUCGCGAAAUCUGGUACUAAAGCUUUCAUGGAGGCUCUUCAAGCAGGUGCCGACAUCAGCAUGAUUGGACAGUUCGGUGUUGGCUUCUACUCCAGUUACUUGGUCGCUGACCGCGUGACUGUUCACUCUAAACACAAUGACGACGAGCAAUACGUGUGGGAAUCUUCUGCAGGAGGCUCGUUCACAGUCCGCCCCGACAGCGGUGAGCCCCUUGGUCGAGGUACAAAGAUCGUCCUUCACGUCAAAGAGGACUUGGCAGAAUUCAUGGAAGAACACAAAAUCAAAGAGAUCGUAAAGAAACAUUCCCAGUUCAUCGGCUACCCAAUCAAGCUGAUGGUUGAAAAAGAACGAGAAAAAGAACUGUCUGAUGAUGAAGCCGAAGAAGAAAAGAAGGAAGAGGAAGAUGAGAAGCCUAAGAUUGAAGAUGUAGGUGAGGAUGAAGACGAGGACAAAAAAGAUACGAAGAAGAAGAAGAAAACAAUUAAAGAAAAAUACACAGAGGAUGAAGAACUCAACAAGACAAAGCCUAUCUGGACCAGAAACGCUGAUGACAUUACCCAAGAUGAGUAUGGAGACUUCUACAAAUCCCUUACCAAUGAUUGGGAGGACCAUCUUGCAGUCAAACACUUCUCCGUUGAAGGUCAGUUAGAGUUCCGAGCACUACUUUUUGUGCCACGUCGUGCACCUUUUGACUUGUUUGAAAACAAGAAGCGCAAGAACAAUAUCAAGCUGUAUGUACGAAGAGUUUUCAUCAUGGACAACUGUGAGGAUCUCAUCCCAGAGUACCUUAACUUCAUUAGAGGUGUUGUCGACAGUGAGGACCUUCCUCUAAACAUUUCACGUGAGAUGCUUCAGCAGAAUAAAAUUCUGAAAGUAAUUAGGAAGAAUUUAGUUAAAAAAUGCCUAGAACUAUUUGAAGAAUUGGCAGAGGACAAAGAAAACUACAAGAAGUAUUAUGAACAAUUCAGCAAGAACUUAAAAUUGGGUAUCCAUGAAGACUCUCAAAACAGGGCUAAGCUCUCUGAGCUUCUGCGGUACCACACUUCAGCAUCGGGUGACGAAGCCUGCUCUCUCAAAGAGUAUGUAUCCAGGAUGAAGGAGAAUCAGAAACAUAUCUACUACAUCACUGGAGAAAACAGAGACCAGGUGGCGAACUCGUCAUUUGUGGAGAGAGUGAAGAAACGUGGCUAUGAAGUAGUCUACAUGACUGAGCCCAUUGAUGAAUAUGUAGUGCAACAGAUGAGGGAGUAUGAUGGCAAGACCCUUGUAUCGGUCACAAAGGAAGGAUUAGAACUUCCUGAAGAUGAGGAAGAAAAGAAGAAACGUGAGGAAGAUAAGGUGAAGUUUGAAGGGCUGUGCAAGGUGAUGAAGAACAUCCUGGACAACAAAGUUGAAAAAGUUGUUGUCUCUAACAGACUUGUGGAGUCUCCUUGCUGUAUUGUUACUGCUCAAUAUGGAUGGUCUGCCAACAUGGAACGAAUCAUGAAGGCUCAGGCUCUACGUGACACAUCCACAAUGGGAUACAUGGCUGCGAAGAAGCAUUUGGAAAUCAAUCCUGAUCACUCAAUUGUGGAAACAUUAAGGCAGAAAGCGGAGGCCGACAAGAAUGACAAAGCUGUUAAGGAUCUUGUUAUCUUAUUGUAUGAAACUGCCCUGCUGUCUUCUGGCUUCACGCUUGAUGAGCCCCAAGUCCAUGCUUCCCGUAUCUAUAGAAUGAUCAAACUGGGUCUUGGUAUUGAUGAAGAUGAGCCGAUUCAGGUUGAAGAGCCUGCUUCUGGAGACGUGCCACCAUUGGAGGGUGAUGCCGAUGAUGCAUCUCGCAUGGAGGAGGUUGAUUAAGAUCUCUACUUUAACUGUAGGAACCAUGUCAUAAUGGUUUGUUUUUGUGCAUCGGUGUACAGCCAAAGACUGAUUUAGUUCAAAAAUUCCAUUAUUUUAAUAAAUAAUCAAAAUGAUUUUCUGUUGAUUUUUUUUUAAAGUAACGUCAUAAUUGUGCCAGAAUACUUACAAUAUUGUAUCUUUUUAAAUGUUUUGUUACUGUUCGUAAUGUAGGCAACCUUUGAAAAUGUUCUUAGUGCAGUAUUACACAUUAGUAAAUAGCCAAAGGUGAACUCUGAAUGUAUCAAUAAAACUCCACUUAAUAUGUGAAAA